RNAcentral lists this ribosomal RNA (593 nucleotides) under Escherichia coli. RNAcentral's name for it is "partial 23S ribosomal RNA". It matches the Rfam family "Bacterial large subunit ribosomal RNA", at positions 2338 to 2925 of the family's 2925-position model. Lineage: Bacteria; Pseudomonadati; Pseudomonadota; Gammaproteobacteria; Enterobacterales; Enterobacteriaceae. The record is from RNAcentral.
UCAGGAGGUUAGUGCAAUGGCAUAAGCCAGCUUGACUGCGAGCGUGACGGCGCGAGCAGGUGCGAAAGCAGGUCAUAGUGAUCCGGUGGUUCUGAAUGGAAGGGCCAUCGCUCAACGGAUAAAAGGUACUCCGGGGAUAACAGGCUGAUACCGCCCAAGAGUUCAUAUCGACGGCGGUGUUUGGCACCUCGAUGUCGGCUCAUCACAUCCUGGGGCUGAAGUAGGUCCCAAGGGUAUGGCUGUUCGCCAUUUAAAGUGGUACGCGAGCUGGGUUUAGAACGUCGUGAGACAGUUCGGUCCCUAUCUGCCGUGGGCGCUGGAGAACUGAGGGGGGCUGCUCCUAGUACGAGAGGACCGGAGUGGACGCAUCACUGGUGUUCGGGUUGUCAUGCCAAUGGCACUGCCCGGUAGCUAAAUGCGGAAGAGAUAAGUGCUGAAAGCAUCUAAGCACGAAACUUGCCCCGAGAUGAGUUCUCCCUGACCCUUUAAGGGUCCUGAAGGAACGUUGAAGACGACGACGUUGAUAGGCCGGGUGUGUAAGCGCAGCGAUGCGUUGAGCUAACCGGUACUAAUGAACCGUGAGGCUUAACCUU